GACGAACGCUGGCGGCGUGCUUAACACAUGCAAGUCGAACGGAAAGGCUCCAGCUUGCUGGAGUACUCGAGUGGCGAACGGGUGAGUAACACGUGGGUGAUCUGCCCUGCACUUCGGGAUAAGCCUGGGAAACUGGGUCUAAUACCGGAUAGGACCGCACUUUGGUGUGUGUGGUGGAAAGGUUUUUCUGGUGUGGGAUGAGCUCGCGGCCUAUCAGUUUGUUGGUGGGGUAAUGGCCUACCAAGACGGCGACGGGUAGCCGGCCUGAGAGGGUGGACGGUCACAGUGGGACUGAGAUACGGCCCAGACUCCUACGGGAGGCAGCAGGGGGGAAUAUUGCACAAUGGGGGAAACCCUGAUGCAGCGACGCCGCGUGGGGGAUGAAGGCCUUCGGGUUGUAAACUCCUUUCGCUAGGGACGAAGCUUUUUGUGACGGUACCUGGAGAAGAAGCACCGGCUAACUACGUG
This 468-nucleotide ribosomal RNA is filed under the name uncultured bacterium. Its description in RNAcentral is "partial 16S ribosomal RNA". It matches the Rfam family "Bacterial small subunit ribosomal RNA", at positions 28 to 507 of the family's 1533-position model. The record is from RNAcentral.